AAACGGGCCGCCCCCGCCAGAGGACCCUUAACUCUGUUUCUAUAAUGUUUCUUCUGAGUAAAACAAGCAAAUAAAUUAAAACUUUCAACAACGGAUCUCUUGGCUCUGGCAUCGAUGAAGAACGCAGCGAAAUGCGAUAAGUAAUGUGAAUUGCAGAAUUCAGUGAAUCAUCGAAUCUUUGAACGCACAUUGCGCCCGCCAGUAUUCUGGCGGGCAUGCCUGUUCGAGCGUCAUUACAACCCUCAGGCCCCCGGGCCUGGCGUUGGGGAUCGGCGGAGCCUCUCUGUGGGCACACGCCGUCCCCCAAAUACAGUGGCGGUCCCGCCGCAGCUUCCAUCGCGUAGUAGCUAACACCUCGCGACUGGAGAGCGGCGCGGCCACGCCGUAAAACACCCAACUCUUCUGAAGUUGACCUCGAAUCAGGUAGGAAUACCCGCUGAACUUAAGCAUAUCAAUAAGCGGAGGAAAAGAAACCAACAGGGAUUGCCUCAGUAACGGCGAGUGAAGCGGCAACAGCUCAAAUUUGAAAUCUGGCUCUCGGGCCCGAGUUGUAAUUUGUAGAGGAUGCUUUUGGUGAGGUGCCUUCCGAGUUCCCUGGAACGGGACGCCAUAGAGGGUGAGAGCCCCGUCUGGUUGGACGCCGAACCUCUGUAAAGCUCCUUCGACGAGUCGAGUAGUUUGGGAAUGCUGCUCUAAAUGGGAGGUAUAUGUCUUCUAAAGCUAAAUACCGGCCAGAGACCGAUAGCGCACAAGUAGAGUGAUCGAAAGAUGAAAAGAACUUUGAAAAGAGAGUUAAACAGUACGUGAAAUUGUUGAAAGGGAAGCGCUUGUGACCAGACUUGGGCUUGGUUGAUCAUCCGGGGUUCUCCCCGGUGCACUCUUCCGGCCCAGGCCAGCAUCAGUUCGCCCUGGGGGACAAAGGCUUCGGGA
RNAcentral lists this ribosomal RNA (930 nucleotides) under fungal sp. RNAcentral's name for it is "eukaryotic LSU rRNA". The stretch from base 410 to 930 matches the Rfam family "Eukaryotic large subunit ribosomal RNA", at positions 1 to 533 of the family's 3401-position model. The record is from RNAcentral. Lineage: Eukaryota; Fungi.